UCGGGAGGCAGCAGUAGGGAAUCUUCCGCAAUGGGCGAAAGCCUGACGGAGCAACGCCGGUGAGUGAUGAAGGUUUUCGGAUCGUAAAACUCUGUUAUUAGGGAAGAACAAAUGCGUAAGUAACUGUGCGCAUCUUGACGGUACCUAAUCAGAAAGCCACGGCUAACUACGUGCCAGCAGCCGCGGUAA
This 189-nucleotide ribosomal RNA is filed under the name uncultured Staphylococcus sp. Its description in RNAcentral is "partial 16S ribosomal RNA". It matches the Rfam family "Bacterial small subunit ribosomal RNA", at positions 341 to 523 of the family's 1533-position model. The record is from RNAcentral. Lineage: Bacteria; Bacillati; Bacillota; Bacilli; Caryophanales; Staphylococcaceae.